Molecule: ribosomal RNA, 449 nt
Filed under: uncultured bacterium
Lineage: Bacteria
Description: bacterial SSU rRNA
Rfam family: Bacterial small subunit ribosomal RNA
Source: RNAcentral
GUACCAGACUCCUACGGGAGGCAGCAGUGGGGAAUAUUGCACAAUGGGGGAAACCCUGAUGCAGCAACGCCGCGUGAGUGAAGAAGUAUUUCGGUAUGUAAAGCUCUAUCAGCAGGGAAGAAAAUGACAGUACCUGACUAAGAAGCCCCGGCUAACUACGUGCCAGCAGCCGCGGUAAUACGUAGGGGGCAAGCGUUAUCCGGAUUUACUGGGUGUAAAGGAGGCGCAGACGGCAGCGCAAGCCAGGAGUGAAAGCCCGGGGCCCAACCCCGGGACUGCUCUUGGAACUGCGCGGCUGGAGUGCAGGAGGGGCAGGCGGAAUUCCUGGUGUAGCGGUGAAAUGCGUAGAUAUCAGGAGGAACACCGGUGGCGAAGGCGGCCUGCUGGACUACGACUGACGUUGAGGCCCGAAAGCGUGGGGAGCAAACAGGAUUAGAUACCCUCGUAAC